This 85-nucleotide transfer-messenger RNA is filed under the name Candidatus Saccharimonadota bacterium. RNAcentral describes it as "partial transfer-messenger RNA". It matches the Rfam family "transfer-messenger RNA", at positions 290 to 374 of the family's 374-position model. Rfam says of the family: Bacterial tmRNA, also known as 10Sa RNA or SsrA, is named for its dual tRNA and mRNA-like properties. Its role is to liberate the mRNA from a stalled ribosome. Lineage: Bacteria; Candidatus Saccharimonadota. The record is from RNAcentral.
GGAAUACUCUAAACACUGACUGCACCCGGAGAUGCUUCGGUGGAAAUGGUUUCGGACAGGAGUUCGACUCUCCUCGCCUCCACCA